AGUGCAAGGAGCUAAAUAAUGUAAGUAAAUAAAUGGCUGGAAGAUAGAAUUGUGUCUCAUGCAGGGCUGCAAGGUGAGCGCUUUGCCGUCAACUGUGUACCAGACUUGUCUGGAAACGUGAAGGGGACCCCUUGUGCAAACCCUUUGCACCGGAGGGGCUAGAUGGCAUCACCCCCCGCGCCCCUGACUGACGGUCACAGUGCGGCAGGGGCUCGCCUGCGUGUUGUGCUGUGCCCGAUGUGCGCGACUCAUCCCUUGUGUGAAGGGUCGCGGCAAGCAAGAUCCUCGCCCAGCAACACAGGACGCAAGGCGGGAGGGGACACACCCUGGACGGGACGCCAGUCCACCGCAAGGCACCCCAAGCAGAACUUGAACUCCAGACCCGCCAGAGAGCGUGACCCUUGCUAAGCCUGCUGCACCACCUCACCCCCCCAGUUCACAAGGUAUACAGAAAAAGAAGAGUCCCAGAGACCAGUUGUGAGUUUCCCGGUUUGGACCGCACUGGUUCACAGGUCAUAACCCCAGAAAGGCGCAUCAUUCACCCAUCCGCUGGCCUCGUGAUGAUCCAGGUGCCAAAGGAAAUGUACACAGCGAUUUUUCUGGUUUGAUAAACAUGGACAUUAACCUCAGAUGAAUGAUGAUCAAGUGGCACUACAGUUAUUGACAACAAAACAAACCGCGCCCCCCCGCCCCCCCCAACCGCGGUUGUGGCGGGGGGUGGACCCGGGUCCGCAAAUCCCCGCGAACAGGCCCACCACGGCGGUGCGACUUCAAGGAGCGCCUCUUCAAAGCUUUCCGUUGCAUUUGAAAAGCGCGCCGCAUUGAGGCCGCGCGGAUUUGCCCAUUGUCCCUGACCAUCAGAGGCGAGUGACAUCUUGAACGCCUCAAGAAGAUUAAAUGGCAGCGCUCAGUCGGAAGCCGGGGGUCAGAAAGAGAAGGGUCGGCCAUUAUGGAACAGGUCCUUUCUUGUGCGUGAAAGAGCAUUCAAGGAGGACUACUGGGAGAAGAAGGCGCAGAUAAAGGAUACAAUGGUGGGG
Molecule: long non-coding RNA, 1037 nt
Filed under: Scleropages formosus (Asian bonytongue)
Lineage: Eukaryota; Metazoa; Chordata; Actinopteri; Osteoglossiformes; Osteoglossidae
Description: lncRNA (ENSSFOG00015024863.1)
Source: RNAcentral